AUUACCGCGGCUGCUGGCACGUAGUUAGCCGGUGCUUAUUCUUCAGGUACCGUCAUUCCCGGACUGUGUUAGAGCCGGUGUUUCUUCCCUGACAAAAGAGCUUUACAACCCGAAGGCCUUCUUCACUCACGCGGCAUUGCUGGAUCAGGGUUUCCCCCAUUGUCCAAAAUUCCCCACUGCUGCCUCCCGUAGG
RNAcentral lists this ribosomal RNA (193 nucleotides) under uncultured bacterium. RNAcentral describes it as "partial 16S ribosomal RNA". The record is from RNAcentral.